CGAGCGGCAGCGCGGGGGCAACCCUGGCGGCGAGCGGCGAACGGGUGAGUAAUGUAUCGGAACGUACCCAGUCGUGGGGGAUAACUAUCCGAAAGGAUAGCUAAUACCGCAUACGACCUGAGGGUGAAAGCGGGGGACCUGCAAGGGCCUCGCGCGAUUGGAGCGGCCGAUAUCGGAUUAGCUAGUUGGUGAGGUAAAGGCUCACCAAGGCGACGAUCCGUAGCUGGUCUGAGAGGACGACCAGCCACACUGGAACUGAGACACGGUCCAGACUCCUACGGGAGGCAGCAGUGGGGAAUUUUGGACAAUGGGGGCAACCCUGAUCCAGCCAUUCCGCGUGAGUGAAGAAGGCCUUCGGGUUGUAAAGCUCUUUCGGCAGGAACGAAACGGUCUCACCUAAUACGUGGGGCUAAUGACGGUACCUGAAGAAGAAGCACCGGCUAACUACGUGCCAGCAGCCGCGGUAAUACGUAGGGUGCGAGCGUUAAUCGGAAUUACUGGGCGUAAAGCGUGCGCAGGCGGUUAUGUAAGACAGGUGUGAAAUCCCCGGGCUUAACCUGGGAACUGCGCUUGUGACUGCAUAACUUGAGUGUGGCAGAGGGGGGUGGAAUUCCACGUGUAGCAGUGAAAUGCGUAGAGAUGUGGAGGAACACCGAUGGCGAAGGCAGCCCCCUGGGUCAACACUGACGCUCAUGCACGA
This 700-nucleotide ribosomal RNA is filed under the name uncultured beta proteobacterium. RNAcentral describes it as "bacterial SSU rRNA". It matches the Rfam family "Bacterial small subunit ribosomal RNA", at positions 63 to 756 of the family's 1533-position model. The record is from RNAcentral. Lineage: Bacteria; Pseudomonadati; Pseudomonadota; Betaproteobacteria.